Molecule: non-coding RNA, 7581 nt
Organism: Dermacentor albipictus
Lineage: Eukaryota; Metazoa; Arthropoda; Arachnida; Ixodida; Ixodidae
Source: RefSeq, a predicted model, not a curated record
AUUCAAUCCAGUGGUUAUCUCAGACAAGCAUUUUUCCGUUUUACAUGCAUUUGAAUAGGUGGUACCAGUUAGGGUGGUAGAAACAUUUAUUGCCAAUGAUAUGAAUGGUGGGGGCAAAGCCCCCUACAUGGCACUUGGGUGCUCUCUUACUAUGAGAAGGCACCCUUACAAAGCGAAGGAGAGCCCUUGAAGCGCAAUCCUUCUUACUGCACUGGAGAUGAUCGGGCACUGGCCUUAAGCGAAAGUGCAGGUCAGAAGAGUCUCCCAGUAAGACACCGCCACGGCAGGUGAUGGGGGAUGAGGGAAGGUGGGCCAUGUGAGGAGGGUGUGUAGGAAGUCUCUUGGUUUGGCGCAAAGUUUGCAUGUUGAGUGGAGUCGGUCUGGGUAUCGGGCAUGUAGCAGUAUGGGGCAUGAAGCAGUCCGAGUUUGUAGUCGUCGCCAGUGUGCGGCCUGCUCUAUGGUGAGGGAUGGGCCUUGGGGCGUGUUUUCCCUUUGUUUGUCCCGGUAUUACGAGCGAAUAUAACGGAAGGAGAGCACGCACUCCCCAGCCCGUAGAGAGGGCUCGGGUCCCACUGCCUGGAAUGUUAGACCUCGGGCCAAAGAGUGAGCCUCCUCGUUGCCGGGGAGGCCGGCAUGUGCUGGCGUCCAGAUUAGGGUUAUGCGGCGCCGAGGCUGCCAGAAGCGUAGUAAGCACAGAGAGGUGCGGGAUAUGUAGCCAUUGGCAUAGUUGAGAAUGGCGGAUUUGGAGUCAGUGAUAAUUUUGGUGGCAGAUGUAGAGAUGAGAGCAAGCGCGAUGGCUGCUUCUUCUGCCUCUGUGGUGGAAUUGGGGAUGAUUGAGCUGGAGGUUAGGAGCUUUGCUUGGUUGUCGGCUACCACCAGGGCCAUACGGGAGUCUGAUGUAUAUUCCGCUGCGUCCACAUAGACCACCUCAUGGUCCUCGCCAUACUGUUUGUGGAGGGCCCAAGCCCUUGCUAUUCUGCGGUUCCCGUCUCGCUCAGGAUUCAUGUUCUUGGGGACAGCGGGUAUGUUGAGGUUAGAGCGGAGGAUAGGAGAAAGGGGGACCUCCUCGGUAGGGUGUGUAAUUUGGAUUAGGCUUGAUUCGGAUAACCGAGUGCGGCCAGCCUCUGAGUUAGACAGAUGGGAUAUUUGUGCCGUAAAGAUGGCUUCUCUGAGUUCCUCAAAGGUGUUGUGGACACCGAGCUUGAGGAGUCAGUGAUUGGAUGUGCUGGGAGGAAGGCAUAGAGCUGCUUUCGUGCAACUCCGUAGGAGCGCGUUUACCUGAGCUCUCUCCUGUUGAAGGGGUAAGUACGGAAGAGCAUGUGCGGUGCGGCUUAUUAUAUAAGCCUGGGUGAGACGAGGCGUGUUUCCCUGGCGUAAGCCAGCCCGGUGGUUCGCUAUGCGGCGAAUCAGUCGGGUGGUCUGUUGAGCGAGUGUUUGGAGAGUCUUUAUGACUUUAUGCCAUGAGAGUGGAUAACUAGCCCUAGCACUCAGAUCUUGUAUACUAGUGGGAUGGGGUGUGUACCUAGCAUCAGAGUGGUGGGAGGAAUGACUGAAUCAUGUUGCCUGUGGCGGUAGAGAAAGAGCUCCGAUUUUGCGGGGAGCAGGUCAGGUCACGCUCUCGUACAUAUGUCGAUGAUGGUUACUGCCAAUUGUAGGUGUUGCUCUAUUUCAGCAUCACUGCCUCGGUUUGUCCAGACAGUGAUGUCGUCGGCGUAGAGGCUGAAGUGGAUGUCAGGGAUUUGAGCUAGUUGUUGGGGUAGGUGAAGGAGUGCUAUAUUGAAUAACAUAGGGGAAAGAACGGCUCCCUGGGGCGUACCUCGUGCCCCGAGUGUGAUACCUGGGAGGCGGUGGUCAUCAAAAGUAAGUGUGGCUGUGCGGUGGCUGAGGAAGUCUCGGAUCUAGUUGUACAUCCUGGCGCCGACUCCUAAGGUUGUAAGGUUUUGUAGGAUAGCCGAGUGUGUAACGUUGUCGAAUGCCUUAGUUAGAUCCACACCUAUGAUAGCUUUGGUGUCGGUUUGGGAAUCUAGAAUGUGAUGUUUUAGCUGUAGGAAGACGUCCUGUGUGGAAAGUCCAGAAGGAAAUCCAAACAUGCAGGUGGGCAUCAGAUCAUUGCUUUCUAGGUAACGGCAGAGCCUGGUCUGGAGUACGUGUUCUAUCACUUUGCCCACCGAAGAUGUCAGAGAGAUGGGUCUGACGUUAGAGGUGAGCAGAGGUUUCCCGGGUUUAGGUAUGAAAACGACUUUGGCCUCUUUCUAUUGCAGUGGGACAGUGCCCUUUUGCCAGCACCCGUUAAAGUAUUCGGUAAGGGCCGUAAUGGAUUCGGCGUCAAGAUACCGGAGUGCCUUGUUAUGUACCACGUCUGGAUCAGGGGUUGAGGACGUGUUAAGUCUCUGGAGUUCAGCCUUAACUUCUGCUUCUGUAAUGGGUUGGUCGAGGAAGUUGUUAGGGGGGCCUGCAUAGUCGGGGUAUGUUAAAGGAGGGUGUGUGGGGAAGUACAGACUUCGAAGUUCUUGGAGGAGUUCCAAUGGAGGUGUAUCAGAAGUAUGUAUGAGUUUGGUGAGGUUGUGUCUUUGUGUAGUCUUAGACUGUGUGGACUCUAUUAAGUGUCUAAAGAGGUUCCAGGUCUGAGGUAAACUUAUAUUGCCAUCUAGCUUGUUGCCUCGUGACUCCCAGUUUUGUCAUGAAAGAAUUUCUGCGUGUGUCUCUAUCUCUUUGUUGAGACGGGCGAGGCGGCGUCUAAGUGUCCGGUUUCAACGCUGCCUUUGCCAGCAUCGUUCUAGGCCUGCUCUAGCUUCCCAUAAAUGUAGGAGGCGGGAGUCAACUGUGUCGCUGGGGUAGUCCUCCCAUAGGGGAUGAGUUAUGGAUCGGACAAUACUUUAUAGUUUGAACCACUCGGUGAUGUCCUUGAUGGGGGCGGAGGUGCAGGCUGCUCUACAUGAUUGGAAAGAAUCCUACUUCGUGAAAGUGGAGCCUCUGGGAGGUCUGUGGGGUAGUUCAAUGUUUAAGAGAAUUUCGAUGAUGCAAUGCUCACUACCCAAAUUCUCUUAUGUGUUGCAUCAUGUGGCGUGAGGGAGGCGAUGUGCGAACGUAAGGUCUGGAGUAGUGUCUCUACAGACGCUGGUUCCCAUGCGUGAAGGAGAGGUAGGGUCGGUGAGUAGGGAGAGACCGGCUUGCUGCACUGCUAACCACACCUGACGGCCUUUCAGUGUGUCAUUUGGGUAACCCCAGGCCGUAUGCGGGGCAUUAAAGUCUCCUACAAUGAGUAAGGGGCACUUGUUUGCUAUGUGCAUCGCAAGUGUAAAGAAGCGUUCGAAGUUGCUUUGUAGGCACUUUGGGUGGCUAUAUACAUGUAGGAUAAAGAGACUGUUCGUUCGAGCGUGUUGCGGCACAAGCUCAAUUAAAAGGUGAUCAAUGUCUUGAAUCGCUAGGGUAUGGGAGAUGGUGGUGAUUGAGCGACUAACUAGAAAUGCUACCCAGGAGAGUAGGGGGGAUGUGGGCAGAAUAGGAGUAUAGCCAGGGAGGGUAAGUGAGUUAGAGGGUUCCUGCAGGGCAAGGAUGUCGGGCCCCGUUGUGCAGAACAGCAGUUGGCGGACCAUGACGCUUCUGGCGAAAGCCCCGGCAGUUCCACUGCCAGAGUGUAAGAUUACAGUUUGGAGCUGCCAUCAUGAGAGUCGAUAGGAGGGGAAGGAAUAACGGGGGAGUGGGAGUCGUGAGUUAUGGCAGGCAUAGGGUUGUCCUUUCCUUCUGUUGCUUUAGCCUUCUUACGUCUAUUUGGGGUGGAGUCCCGCUUCAGGAGGGCGGUUGAGUAAGAAUUGAGCCGGCACUCAAGAUCGCUACGACGGUCAGAGAAUCGUUGGGUUAGCACAUCUAAUUGUUGGUUAAAAGCAGUAUUGUCUUGUGUUAUGUGGAUUAUCACGUUUCUGAGGGUUGCACAUUCCUGGUUGAUGUGAGUAAUAGUGUCCUGCAAUUUUGCCUCAAAGCAAGCAGCGAAGGACUGAAGCAGGGUUGGAAUGCCGUCUCGUGAGGUAGUGGUGAAGGGAGUGGGUGCUGUGCAUGGGGUUGAAUUUGCAGAGGGUUCCAUGUCAGCCUCCAUUGCUAGCAAAUCAGGAGAUGAAGUAGGGUUGGAGGUGGGAGGCUGGGAUGUGGCAGGAGCGGUUGCCGGUGGAAUGGGAGAUCCAGACGCAAGAGCACUUAUCUGGGUUUCCAGUUUGGCUAUAUGUUGAAGGGCGGCGUCUUCUUUCCAUGCCGCUGUAGCAUCUGCUUUGGCCGCCGCUGCCUCCUCCUGGGAUUUUGCAAGGGCGUGUUGUAGAUCGGGAGUUGCUGUCAUGGAUGGCAUGUGCUGGUAAGAAGAGAGGGCAGUGUCUCAGGCUUGCUUCCACGGCGCUGCCCAGGCUUGCUUGUGUUGGUUGGGCGACAACAGGGGAAAAUUGUCCCCGGAUGUGACCAAUUCUUGAUGCUGCGUUUGUGGGUUGCUCGGUUGUUUCGUUGUUUCCAUGUCUGAUGACGGUUUCAUCCCUUGCACGAUCCCGUGCCAGUAAGGUGAGGGCCCUCGCACAGAAUGCACUUAGGUGUGCAAGGAGGUUCUUGUUGAGGACGUUGUGCUGCACAGCGGGGACAAAGAUUGGUCUUGGGGCUUGGGCAAGCGUCAUGACGGUGACCUGGUUGUCCGCAAUUUGUACAGGCAUCCGGACUGCCGCGGUAUUGGGUGCAGCGGUGGAUGGCUCCCAUCUAUUUGAUGGAGUUCGGGACUGCGCUUGCGUCGAAGGUGAUUAGGAUGGAGUGCGUCUUUCCCAUGCGUCUGGCUGCUAAUAUGGUGUGCUCUGGAUUUGUUCUGACCAGGUCUUGGUAGAGUUGCGUUGGGGUCUCGUCGUCAUAGGCGUUUGUGAGGACUCCUCUGGUAGCCCCCGGUGGAGGUGCCAUGUGAGCUGCGCGCGGGUAGGUUCGGUCGAUCUCCAAUGGUGGGGUAGGUUGGCGUCUUCAGAGUCUCGGCUGUUGGGAAAUUUGUUGUUGCCAUGGUGAAAGUAUUGUUGGUCGGGUAGAUGCGUAAGCAGAAGUUGUCCGGUAGAGUGAUUUGGAUUUGUGUCUGCACUGCCUUCCUGAGUCGACGUGUUGGAAUGUCUAGAGUCGCACUUCACCUCGCGGGUGAACGACCACUCUAAGAGCGUUGGGCGGGAGCGGCGGCAGUUACUUCCUGCGUUACACUAUACAGACGGCAGUCCGUCCAGGCAGCCUACCAAACACAACAGGAUCUGCAGCAGUCACUUUGUAAAUGGCGAGAAGUCGGACGAUAAGAGAAGCCCCGUCUAUCUACCAACCUUGCUUCCAUGUGUGUACAGGUCCACUAAUGUUGCUACUGCACACAGGUAUGAAAGGCUCCGGUCACGUGAGCAGCACAAACAACCCACAUGGCGCUGUGUGUUGCCAGUUCCUGAUGACCAAGAAUGCGGUGCUGUGACUACAGAGCACACCAGGGUAGGAACGCAGACAGACCCUUGCACAUAAUUCUCGGAGGUGGACAUAUGCCAAGCCUGUUCUCUUGUUGUUUAAAGGAAUGCGAAGCUGAGAUGCAGGUUGUUGUGCCCUGCAAGAAAUAAAGCAAGGGUGCAUCAUGGGGAACAUCCUACGACGUCAAGGAUGCUGCAUGUGACGCUGUGAACAUCGAACACACUAUCUCGAUCCCAGGCUUCCGCAGUUGCGCCAGUGUGUCAUCCUGCCCCAGUGAAAAAGCUUCUGACAUUCUGAAGGGUAUUACUGGGGUUUCACAGAGUGUUUUUAUAAAGCUGCAGGGCAUUCUAGCUCAGGCGCUCAAUGUUAAGGGGAAAGAGGAAACCACAAAUGCUUCAAACAAAUUGCUUAUCCUUUUGAUGAAACUAAAACUAAACUUGUCGUACUCAUCCUUGGCAGCGUUUUUUUGUUUCCACAGAACCACAGGUUAAAGACAUUUUCUGCUGAUCAUUGCCAUUCUCCAUGCAAAAAUGCGGCCAGUACUUUACUGGUCAUCAGGGUCAACCAUACAGCUGAUGAUGCCUUACUGCUUCAAGCCCGACUAUGUAAACUGCAGCGUUGUCAUCGACAAGCACGCACAGCCCAUGAGAAAGUGCUCACGUAUUCCAGCUACAAAGGAACCUACACUGUGAAAUUCCUUGUAGGAAUAACAUCAAUAAGGCAUCAUAAGCUAUGUGUCAAGGCCUCAUGGUGGCUGUGCCACCGACUCUCUCAUCACAUCUGACUGUGGCAUAUUGCGCAUGCUUGAGCCAGGGGACCUUGUGCUUGCUGACAAGGGCUUUCCUCCAAUCAGGAGUGCUCUUGUGGAGCGAGGAGUUAAAUUUCAGAUGCCAAACUUUACACGACCGAAUGAGCCUUUCACGCGUGAGGAGGUUCUGAGCAUAUAAGGUAUUGUGCAAAAAUACAUGUUGAGCGAUGCAUACAGCGUAUGAAGCUUUUCGGUAUAUUGUCAGAAAGACAUUCUGCUGAUCUACUUCAUUGGCAAAAUCAUUGACGUGUGCAGUGCUGGCACAUUUGCAGGCUCCAAUUAUGAAAGACAAAGAUUAGUGGGCAUGCAACAAAAGUAUAGUGUCGCUUCUCUAAUGGUGCCUUAGCCCAUAUUCGCAAAAUCUUUUUUACUCAGCGCUACAUCUUGUCCCCGCAGAGGGUAAGAAACACUCUACCGCCCCUCACGGUUCGCUACAUUUCAGAGUUACAAUAAUCCAGAAGAAAGGUGCUUAACCGAGGGGUCAAUUUUUAUUAGUGACAUCAUAAGAAGCCAACAAACACUGACACCAAGGGCAACAUAGGGGAAAUUACUUGUGCUUAAUAAAUGAAAUAAAGAAACCAUAAAUAAUGAAAAUUAAAAUGGAUGAAAAAACAACUUGCGGCUGGUAGGAACCGAACCCACAACCUUUGCAAAAAGUAUUUUAUAUAUGCUAGGAGGCAUUCCAAUUCAAGAGUGAAUUGUGAGUAAUGGCCUUAAUCGGAUGUCAUACCUAUUUAUAUGGGCUUUAGCCUGAUGUGUAUACCUCUGCGAAAACUAAGCUGUACUGAAUAGUUGCAUGUUUAUCACUAGGGCAUCAAGCUGCAAGCUAUAAUAUGCUUCUUUAUCCUAAUUGUUCAGUGCUUGUGGGACAUGUGCAGAGAACGUGGUCACCAAAUUGAAGUGAUGCAUUAUGUAGCAUAUGCACGUGAAACUAGUUUGUAGCAUUUGUGUUCGAGCCUGCUUAGCUAUUCAUCUUGUGAAUUCGUAAGUUGUUUCACAACUUGUUUUGCUCACUGUGAGUUGGAAUUGUUUUUCGCAGUACUUCUGUAACAGAUUUUAUUGACUUUGCAAAUGUUUGUGAAGACCAUUUGGAAUUUAUGCAGCUGUGCAACAACACUGAACUUCCUUUGUUUCAUCUUCUCGUUAUGCUGCCUUGUUCAUGGUAGUGCACGUAAAUGUGCAAGCAUUUAUACAGCUUUGAAAUUUGUGACAAUGCAACACAUAUUAUGAUGUUCGCAUCAAUGUAAAGGUUGACCAACUAGUAAUGUGACAAAGUAUGAUGUGAUGUGCAGCAAGUGAAAAACAGAAAACAUUUGUUUUGAUCUGAA